AGUCAAGUAAUUAAGUGCAUGUGGUGGAUGCCUUGGCAGUCAGAGGCGAUGAAAGACGUGAUAGCCUGCGAAAAGCUCCGGGGAGGCGGCAAAUAUCCUUUGAUCCGGAGAUGUCUGAAUGGGGGAACCCACCUACUUUAAGGUAGGUAUUGCAACAUGAAUACAUAGUGUUGCAAGGCGAACGAGGGGAAGUGAAACAUCUCAGUACCCUUAGGAAAAGAAAUCAAUUGAGAUUCCCUCAGUAGCGGCGAGCGAACGGGGAUCAGCCCAUUAAGUUAUGUGUGUUUUAGUGGAACGCUCUGGGAAGUGCGAACGUAGAGGGUGAUAUUCCCGUACACGAAAGGGCACACAUAAUGAUGACGAGUAGGGCGAGGCACGUGAAACCUUGUCUGAAUAUGGGGGGACCAUCCUCCAAGGCUAAAUACUCCUGACUGACCGAUAGUGAACCAGUACCGUGAGGGAAAGGCGAAAAGAACCCCUGUGAGGGGAGUGAAAUAGAUCCUGAAACCGCAUGCAUACAAGCAGUGGGAGCACCUUCGUGGUGUGACUGCGUACCUUUGUAUAAUGGGUCAGCGACUUAUAUUCAGUAGCGAGGUUAACCGUAUAGGGGAGCCGUAGAGAAAUCGAGUCUUAAUAGGGCGUUUAGUUGCUGGGUAUAGACCCGAAACCAGGCGAUCUAUCCAUGAGCAGGUUGAAGGUUGGGUAACACUAACUGGAGGACCGAACCCACUGUCGUUGAAAAGCCAGGGGAUGACUUGUGGAUAGGGGUGAAAGGCUAAUCAAGCCUGGUGAUAGCUGGUUCUCCCCGAAAGCUAUUUAGGUAGCGCCUCGGACGAAUACCAUAGGGGGUAGAGCACUGUUUCGGCUAGGGGGUCAUCCCGACUUACCAAACCGAUGCAAACUCCGAAUACCUAUGAGUACUAUCCGGGAGACAGACUGCGGGUGCUAACGUCCGUAGUCAAGAGGAAAACAAUCCAGACCGCCAGCUAAGGCCCCAAAAUCAUAGUUAAGUGGGAAACGAUGUGGGAAGGCAUAGACAGCUAGGAGGUUGGCUUAGAAGCAGCCACCCUUUAAAGAAAGCGUAAUAGCUCACUAGUCGAGUCGGCCUGCGCGGAAGAUGUAACGGGGCUAAAACUAUGUGCCGAAGCUGCGGAUGUAUACUUUGUAUACGUGGUAGGGGAGCGUUCUGUAAGCCGAUGAAGGUGUGUUGAGAAGCAUGCUGGAGGUAUCAGAAGUGCGAAUGCUGACGUGAGUAACGACAAAACGGGUGAAAAACCCGUUCGCCGAAAGACCAAGGGUUCCAGUCCAACGUUAAUCGGGGCUGGGUGAGUCGACCCCUAAGGCGAGGCCGAAAGGCGUAGUCGAUGGGAAAAUGGUUAAUAUUCCAUUACUUCUGUGUAAUGCGAUGAGAGGACGGAGAAGGCUAAAUCAGCCUGGCGUUGGUUGUCCAGGUGAAAGGAUGUAGGCAUGUAUCUUAGGCAAAUCCGGGGUACUCUAUGCUGAGAUCUGAUAGCAAGCUGUACUUGUACAGCGAAGUGGUUGAUGCCAUGCUUCCAGGAAAAGUCUCUAAGCUUCAGUUACACAGGAAUCGUACCCGAAACCGACACAGGUGGUCAGGUCGAGUAGACCAAGGCGCUUGAGAGAACUCUGCUGAAGGAACUAGGCAAAAUGGUACCGUAACUUCGGGAGAAGGUACGCUGUUGUUGGUGAUGGAACUCGCUUCCUGAGCUGACGACAGCCGCAGAAACCAGGCCGCUGCAACUGUUUAUUAAAAACAUAGCACUCUGCAAACACGAAAGUGGACGUAUAGGGUGUGAUGCCUGCCCGGUGCUGGAAGGUUAAUUGAUGGGGUUAGCGUAAGCGAAGCUCUUGAUCGAAGCCCCAGUAAACGGCGGCCGUAACUAUAACGGUCCUAAGGUAGCGAAAUUCCUUGUCGGGUAAGUUCCGACCUGCACGAAUGGCAUAAUGAUGGCGGCGCUGUCUCCAGCAGAGGCUCAGUGAAAUCGAAAUCGCUGUGAAGAUGCAGUGUACCCGCGGCUAGACGGAAAGACCCCGUGAACCUUUACUGCAGCUUGACACUGAACUUUGACCUUACUUGUGUAGGAUAGGUGGGAGGCUUUGAAGCUGGAACGCUAGUUCCAGUGGAGCCGUCCUUGAAAUACCACCCUGGUAAUGUUGAGGUUCUAACUCUGUCCCGUGAUCCGGGACGAGGACCGUGUCUGGUGGGUAGUUUGACUGGGGCGGUCUCCUCCUAAAGAGUAACGGAGGAGUACGAAGGUGCGCUCAGCGUGGUCGGAAAUCACGCGUAGAGUAUAAAGGCAAAAGCGCGCUUAACUGCGAGACCCACAAGUCGAGCAGGUACGAAAGUAGGUCUUAGUGAUCCGGUGGUUCUGUAUGGAAGGGCCAUCGCUCAACGGAUAAAAGGUACUCUGGGGAUAACAGGCUGAUACCGCCCAAGAGUUCAUAUCGACGGCGGUGUUUGGCACCUCGAUGUCGGCUCAUCUCAUCCUGGGGCUGAAGCAGGUCCCAAGGGUAUGGCUGUUCGCCAUUUAAAGAGGUACGCGAGCUGGGUUUAGAACGUCGUGAGACAGUUCGGUCCCUAAUCUACCGUGGGCGCUGGAAAUUUGAGAGGAUCUGCUCCUAGUACGAGAGGACCAGAGUGGACGAACCUCUGGUGUACCGGUUGUGACGCCAGUCGCAUCGCCGGGUAGCUAUGUUCGGAAGGGAUAACCGCUGAAAGCAUCUAAGCGGGAAGCCUACCUCAAGAUAAGAUUUCCCUAGGACUUUAUGUCCUCUAAAGAGCCGUUCGAGACUAGGACGUUGAUAGGUUGGAUGUGGAAGCAUAGUGAUAUGUGAAGCUGACCAAUACUAAUUGCUCGUGAGGCUUGACUAU
This 2893-nucleotide ribosomal RNA is filed under the name Acinetobacter baumannii. RNAcentral describes it as "23S ribosomal RNA". It matches the Rfam family "Bacterial large subunit ribosomal RNA". Lineage: Bacteria; Pseudomonadati; Pseudomonadota; Gammaproteobacteria; Moraxellales; Moraxellaceae. The record is from RNAcentral.